UACGGAGGGUGCAAGCGUUGUCCGGAUUUAUUGGGUUUAAAGGGUGCGUAGGCGGCUUGAUUAGUCAGUGGUGAAAUACUUGGGCUUAACCUAAGAACUGCCAUUGAUACUGUCGAGCUUGAGUAUUGUGGAAGUAGGCGGAAUUGACAGUGUAGCGGUGAAAUGCAUAGAUAUUGUCAAGAACACCGAUAGCGAAGGCAGCUUACUACAGAAUAACUGACGCUGAGGCACGAAAGCGUGGGGAUCAAACAGG
This 253-nucleotide ribosomal RNA is filed under the name uncultured bacterium. RNAcentral describes it as "partial 16S ribosomal RNA". It matches the Rfam family "Bacterial small subunit ribosomal RNA", at positions 524 to 776 of the family's 1533-position model. The record is from RNAcentral.